RNAcentral lists this ribosomal RNA (642 nucleotides) under uncultured Actinomycetes bacterium. Its description in RNAcentral is "bacterial SSU rRNA". It matches the Rfam family "Bacterial small subunit ribosomal RNA", at positions 761 to 1405 of the family's 1533-position model. Lineage: Bacteria; Bacillati; Actinomycetota; Actinomycetes. The record is from RNAcentral.
GCGGGGAGCGAACAGGAUUAGAUACCCUGGUAGUCCGCGCCGUAAACGAUGGGCGCUAGUUGUGGGGACCUUCCACGGUUUCUGCGACGCAGCUAACGCAUUAAGCGCCCCGCCUGGGGAGUACGAUCGCAAGAUUAAAACUCAAAGGAAUUGACGGGGACCCGCACAAGCAGCGGAGCAUGCGGCUUAAUUCGACGCAACGCGAAGAACCUUACCAAGGCUUGACAUAUAGCGAAAAGCGGCAGAGAUGUCGUGUCCGCAAGGGCGCUAUACAGGUGGUGCAUGGUUGUCGUCAGCUCGUGUCGUGAGAUGUUGGGUUAAGUCCCGCAACGAGCGCAACCCUCGUUCUGUGUUGCCAGCAUUUAGUUGGGGACUCACAGGAGACUGCCGUGGUUAACACGGAGGAAGGUGGGGAUGACGUCAAAUCAUCAUGCCCCUUAUGUCUUGGGCUGCACGCAUGCUACAAUGGCCGAUACAAAGGGCUGCAAUACCGUGAGGUGGAGCGAAUCCCAUAAAGUCGGUCUCAGUUCGGAUUGAGGUCUGCAACUCGACCUCAUGAAGUCGGAGUUGCUAGUAAUCGUAGAUCAGCAACGCUACGGUGAAUACGUUCCCGGGUCUUGUACACACCGCCCGUCACGUCAC